This is a long non-coding RNA of Mercurialis annua (annual mercury), 1094 nucleotides long. RefSeq lists it as uncharacterized. NCBI's taxonomy places the organism in Eukaryota, Viridiplantae, Streptophyta, Magnoliopsida, Malpighiales, Euphorbiaceae. The transcript has 5 exons. The record is from RefSeq and is a predicted model, not a curated record.
GCAUCAGAUGUCAACCCUACACAGAAUGCGAAACUCUUUGCUUUAUCCUUCAUUGUUUUGAAACUUUCUUCUCUCUUUUGUUGCUGCCAUGGCUUCUAUGCUCAUCAUUUUUCCCCUUCAUCUUUUCCGCUUGAAGCAGUGUUCAUUGAUUUGCGAUUGCUUAUCCUGGUUCAUUGAUUUGCGAUCGCUUAUCCUGGUUCAUUGAUUUGCGAUCGCUUAUCCGGUGGUUCAUUGAUUUGCGAUCGUGGCCUUUUGACGUGAGAUCCUGAUAUGUUCGAUUUGUUGGCCGUCUCUGCUCUAAAACGCACGGAUCUGCUUCUCCCAUGGAUCUAUUUCACAGACUGUCGCUGUUCUGGUUCUUGUGGCGAGUUCUCCACCAGCGAUGAUCUCAGAAAGCACAUCGGAGUGAUGCAUAAGACGAUUGUCGAUAGGCCGCCACAAAACAUAUAGGAUCUCUAUGUUUUCAAUAAAAAUGUCUGCAGUAACAAGAACGAUUUAGUUUAAUUGGAGAUUCUUGGAGACGACCGUUCAUUUACAUUUGUGGCCAACCCUUUUGGGGCAAGGAAAAACAGUACAGUUUAGUAAACAAUGAGGAUCUCUAUGUUUUCAAUAAAAAUGUCUUAAGUAACAAGAAUGAUUAGUUUAAUUGGGAAUUCUUGGAGACGACCGUUCAUUUACAUUUGUGGCCAACCCUUUUGGGGUAAGGAAAAACAGGACAGUUUAGUUGUAGAUACAAUGAGUGCUCGUAUGGAUUUCUGCUGCCGCCAUGCAUUAAGAAAUGGAAAUGGAAGACCACUAAUAGCGAGAUGUGCCAUUGAACUUGCUGGAAGAUUCCUCCCAGUUGGGUAUGGUCAUGGUGGCACUUGAAGCCUGUCAUACUCAGGACUAACUAUUACGAAUUGUCUUGAAUUUAGCAAAAAAAUCUGAUAAUGUUUCGUUAAAACUGGCAAUAUUCCUUAGAAAACAUAAUAACGGUCGUUGACUACGUUCCCAGUUACGUUUUACUAGAGUUUCUUUUGACGGUCGUUGACUAUAUCAUGGUGCAAUUGUUUCCUAAAUUUUUGAUUAAAAAUAAAGUUUCUAUUAAUUUCUGA